AAUAACGUGCUUGACAAAAAGAUCGUCUUGAUGGGACGGAAAAUGAGAGGCAGCCUCUCCGUUAUUA
Molecule: transfer RNA, 67 nt
Filed under: Rimicaris exoculata
Lineage: Eukaryota; Metazoa; Arthropoda; Malacostraca; Decapoda; Alvinocarididae
Also listed under: 2 other names
Description: tRNA-Ile
Source: RNAcentral